UACGUAGGCAGCAAGCGUUGUUCGGAGUUACUGGGCGUAAAGGGUGUGUAGGCGGUUUUUUAAGUUUGGUGUGAAAUCUCCCGGCUCAACCGGGAGGGUGCGCCGAAUACUGAAUGACUUGGAGUGCGGGAGAGGAAAGUGGAAUUCCUGGUGUAGCGGUGAAAUGCGUAGAUAUUGGGAAGAACACCGGUGGCGAAGGCGGCUAUCUGGCCCGUAAUUGACGCUGAGACGCGAAAGCGUGGGGAGCAAACAGG
RNAcentral lists this ribosomal RNA (254 nucleotides) under uncultured bacterium. Its description in RNAcentral is "partial 16S ribosomal RNA". It matches the Rfam family "Bacterial small subunit ribosomal RNA", at positions 524 to 776 of the family's 1533-position model. The record is from RNAcentral.